CAGAGAGUUUGAUCAUGGCUCAGAAUGAACGUUGGCGGCGUGGAUUAGGCAUGCAAGUCGUACGCAUAGCUUCGGCUAUGAGUGGCGCAAGGGUGAGUAAUGCGAAGGUAACCAACCCUGGUGUUGGGCAUAGCCGCGGGAAACUGCGGGUAAUUCCCAGCGACGUCACGAGAUGGCAUCAUCUUGUGACCAAAGGUGUGAUUCCGCUCUAGGACGGGCCUUCGUGGUAUUAGGUAGUUGGUGAGGUAACGGCUCACCAAGCCGACGAUGCCUACCGGGUGUGAGAGCAUGACCCGGCACACUGGAACUGAGACACUGUCCAGACACCUACGGGUGGCUGCAGUCGAGAAUCUUCGGCAAUGGGCGAAAGCCUGACCGAGCGACGCCGCGUGAGGGAUUGAAGGCCUUCGGGUUGUAAACCUCUUUCGUAGAGGAGGAAGGGGCCGUGAAGAACGAUCUUUGACCUAUUCUAGGAAGAAGCUUGGGCUAAGUUCGUG
Molecule: ribosomal RNA, 497 nt
Filed under: uncultured bacterium
Lineage: Bacteria
Description: bacterial SSU rRNA
Rfam family: Bacterial small subunit ribosomal RNA
Source: RNAcentral